RNAcentral lists this ribosomal RNA (854 nucleotides) under uncultured bacterium. RNAcentral's name for it is "bacterial SSU rRNA". It matches the Rfam family "Bacterial small subunit ribosomal RNA", at positions 94 to 944 of the family's 1533-position model. The record is from RNAcentral.
AGCGGCGGACGGGUGAGUAAUGCUUAGGAAUCUGCCUAUUAGUGGGGGACAACAUUCCGAAAGGAAUGCUAAUACCGCAUACGUCCUACGGGAGAAAGCAGGGGAUCUUCGGACCUUGCGCUAAUAGAUGAGCCUAAGUCGGAUUAGCUAGUUGGUGGGGUAAAGGCCUACCAAGGCGACGAUCUGUAGCGGGUCUGAGAGGAUGAUCCGCCACACUGGGACUGAGACACGGCCCAGACUUCUACGGGAGGCAGCAGUGGGGAAUAUUGGACAAUGGGCGGAAGCCUGAUCCAGCCAUGCCGCGUGUGUGAAGAAGGCCUUUUGGUUGUAAAGCACUUUAAGCGAGGAGGAGGCUACUCUAGUUAAUACCUAGAGAUAGUGGACGUUACUCGCAGAAUAAGCACCGGCUAACUCUGUGCCAGCAGCCGCGGUAAUACAGAGGGCGCGAGCGUUAAUCGGAUUUACUGGGCGUAAAGCGUGCGUAGGCGGCUGAUUAAGUCGGAUGUGAAAUCCCUGAGCUUAACUUAGGAAUUGCAUUCGAUACUGGUCAGCUAGAGUAUGGGAGAGGAUGGUAGAAUUCCAGGUGUAGCGGUGAAAUGCGUAGAGAUCUGGAGGAAUACCGAUGGCGAAGGCAGCCAUCUGGCCUAAUACUGACGCUGAGGUACGAAAGCAUGGGGAGCAAACAGGAUUAGAUACCCUGGUAGUCCACGCCGUAAACGAUGAUAACUAGCUGUUCGGGCACUUGGUGCCUGAGUGGCGCAGCUAACGCAUUAAGUUAUCCGCCUGGGAGUACGGUCGCAAGAUUAAAACUCAAAGGAAUUGACGGGGGCCUGCACAAGCGGUGGAGCAUGUGG